GUCAGCAUGCAUAGGACUUAAGAUGCAGUUAGCAAUUUUGGCAAAUGGCACCAUCUCCUACCCGUACCACCCCAAGGUAUGGAAUGAGUCCCUCAUGAAGGCAGCAGAAGCAGUGGAGAAUAGAGAAAGGGUGCUUUCAAAUAAAAGCGACUAGGACUGAGAGUUGAUGUCCUUUAUUUUCCUUACCAAUAGACUUACUACAAGAUUUUGCUGCUCUGUGGGAAACCCCCAGUCAUUCCAUAGACCUGCAAAAGACUACUUCUUACGUAAGUUUUGGCUAGAGGUUGGAAAAAUUGUGGGGUUUUUUUGUUUUUGUUUUAAUUAGAAGCAGAAUUGUCACAAGGCCCCUGGACCUGUUGUGGAUACUGACAGCUGCAGUCCCAAAAUGUAAGUUCUCCAGGCUGCAGGUUGGGGCAGCAAUGAAAACGCAGCUAAAUCGAGCUAUCGAGCUGGCGCGGCGGGGGGGGGCGGCGGUGGUUCUGGACUUCAUUCCUGAGGUCAGUGUCUCCAUCCUGGCCGCAGCAGAAUUACAAAACAUGAACCCUUUGGGAUAUUUGCACCAAGCGCUCCCAUGAAACGAGUGUGAAGAAAAAUUCACAAACGGCCCAGUUGGAGGAAAGGAGGUCCGGAGCCAGGAGGGGCAGGGCGAACGGGCCUGGGCGUACCCUCCAGGCUCGGUUUUUCCUGCCGCCCUCCCUGCCUUCCUCGACCUGCCAGCCAGCCAAGCAAGGAGCGAGCAGGAGCCAAGGCGCCUGAGAGGCCCGCUGGCCCCGCGGUUCCUCGCCUCAGGGUUUUUACGCGGCAGAGGCGAGUUGGGCCUUUCCGAAAGCAGGGUGUAUGUGUGUGUGGGGGGGAAGAGGGUACGGGGGACCAGCUCGCCACUCCCUGGAGCCGAGGGGCGGUUUCCCGAGCGUGCCCAGCAGGAUCAGGGGCGUGGUGCGAGGCUCGCCCCUCACAUCAAAGCUUAUGGGCCGUUUAAAAAGGAGCUCAGCCAGCCGAGAAGAUGUUUCAGAAUGGCUCAGGAAGGCACGCGUCCCUCUGACUGUUUUGAAUUGUGCAUCAUUACUCCCCCUGUGCUCAAAAACUCUGCUUGCAGCUGACAUUUCACUGUGAACCACCCACCCACUGCUCUUAUAGUACUUGGUAAUCCUUUGCUUUAGCUCCUGUUACAGUAUAAUUAAAACAGUCAGAAUACAAAACUCAGCUAACAAGAUUAACUACUUUGCUUUUAUGUGGAAGCCUUUCAGCUUCACUCUAGUAGAUGCUCUUGCUGUUUCAGACUGCAGUGUCUUUGGGGCAGAGAGCUAGGGAACUGCCUCUUUUAUAUGCUUUUAAAGCCUUGUGGCAUACUUACAAUAACCCAAUUUUUUGAAAAGGGAUAUAGAAUACUAAUAAAUAAGACAGCAGCUGAAAUCCUGUUGCUUAA
RNAcentral lists this long non-coding RNA (1426 nucleotides) under Pogona vitticeps (central bearded dragon). Its description in RNAcentral is "lncRNA (ENSPVIG00000004642.1)". Lineage: Eukaryota; Metazoa; Chordata; Lepidosauria; Squamata; Agamidae. The record is from RNAcentral.